CAAAAGCUCUCAGCUGUGCCUGCCUGUCAGGGACGAAGGCAUCUAAAGCAGGGCAGGCUAUAAGACACUUACCAGUGAAUUGCUAUCAAUUUCCACAAACUUCUCCCUCCAUAGGAGAAAAAAGUCAACACAGGACACAACAGAUCCAGAACAACAUCAACUGAGUGUCUUAGCAUGUCAUAUGAAGGUAUUUUGUCCAUCCAAAGUUUGAAGGAGGUUGAGAACCCAUGGAAAGGCAUUACUCUAAACCGUUGCAUAGUUUUGGCCAUCAUCAUUGUGCUUGUGAGCUCAGGGGUGAAUGAAGUACAUGAUGCACUGGAAGUAUUUCUAGAGGAGAAUGAUCUAACUCAGAUGUUACUUGGAGGCGAAGAUCCACAGCCAGAUGGCACAGCUCAGCCUCUCUGUGGGACAGCUUGCCGAGUUGGGGAUAAGACCAUGGAACAAAAGGAAAACCAGAGAAGAGGGGGAGUCUUGAGGAACAGAAAUAGAGAUGCCUGACAAAGGGCUGUGAAGGAAUGAUAGAGAGCAUGAUGGAGAAUGGUAAAGAGGCUAAUACAACAAAUAGGCUGACAUUUUCAGAAAGAAUAAUCAAAUAAAUGUCAGUUUGCCCGGUG
Molecule: long non-coding RNA, 614 nt
Organism: Oncorhynchus gorbuscha (pink salmon)
Lineage: Eukaryota; Metazoa; Chordata; Actinopteri; Salmoniformes; Salmonidae
Exons: 5
Source: RefSeq, a predicted model, not a curated record